RNAcentral lists this ribosomal RNA (327 nucleotides) under Triticum aestivum (bread wheat). RNAcentral's name for it is "partial small subunit ribosomal RNA". The record is from RNAcentral. Lineage: Eukaryota; Viridiplantae; Streptophyta; Magnoliopsida; Poales; Poaceae.
AUGUCCAUCACGAACUCUGAAGUAGAGAGCGCCAUGAAUCAUCGCUAUUGGAGGGCCGUUCUUGGUGACUGCGGCUUUUCAAAGGAGGCAUUCGAUGCCUUCAGCUCGGUUGAUGCGUACAUUCGAGCUGCUCAAGAUGGACUUGCCAGAGCCACGGACCAGCAUCCAAAAGAUAUGCGGGCACUUAUGGCGAAGAAUAGACUGCUGUCUCAAGAGCUGGAAAAAUGUCAGAGUCAGCUAACUGCGGCUACCUCCGAAUUGGAGAAAUCCAAGGAGCCACCACCAGAAUCGCUAGAGCAACUGAGAGAGAAAUUGAUGGUCGCCUAG